CCUACGGGAGACAGCAGUGAGGAAUAUUGGUCAAUGGGCGCGAGCCUGAACCAGCCAAGUAGCGUGAAGGAUGACUGCCCUACGGGUUGUAAACUUCUUUUAUAAAGGAAGAAAGUGAGGCACGUGUGCCUGGUUGUAUGGAGGUUAUGAAUAAGGAUCGGCUCACUCCGUGCAAGCAGCCGCGGUAAUACGGAGGAUCCGAGCGUUAUCCGGAUUUAGUGGGGUUACAGGGAGCGUAGAGGGGUUGUUAAGUCAGUUGUGAAAGUUUGCGGCUCAACCGUAAAAUUGCAAUUGAUACUGGCAGCCUUUCGUUCAGUUGAUGUAGGCGGCCUUCGUGGUGUAGCGGU
This 347-nucleotide ribosomal RNA is filed under the name uncultured bacterium. RNAcentral's name for it is "partial 16S ribosomal RNA". It matches the Rfam family "Bacterial small subunit ribosomal RNA", at positions 338 to 682 of the family's 1533-position model. The record is from RNAcentral.